Non-coding RNA from Kogia breviceps (pygmy sperm whale), 481 nucleotides. The record is from RefSeq and is a predicted model, not a curated record. Lineage: Eukaryota; Metazoa; Chordata; Mammalia; Artiodactyla; Physeteridae.
UUAACCCCUUCACGUCUAUGUUCAUUGGCCCAUCGACGCCCCCUGGCACGCCCAUUGCUUCGUGGAGAUUCGGGACACUUAAUUGCUAAGACCUUCUCGCUGAUAAAUAAUGAACGGCAAUCAUGGUUAACGUUUGAGCGUCUGUGGACCAGCAGCUAAGAAAAUUCAGGCCAGGAGCUUCCCUGGUGAUGCAGUGGCUAAGAAUCCACCUGCCAAUGCAGGGGACACGGUUUCGAGCCCUGGUCCGGGAAGAUCCCACAUGCCGCGGAAUAACUAAGCCCGUGCGCCACAACUACUGAGCCUGCGUGCCGCACCUACUGAGCCCGUGUGCCACAACUACUGAAGCCCGUGCACCUACAGCCCAUGCUCCACAACAAGAGAAGCCACUGCAAUGAGAAGCCCGUGCACUGCAAUGAAGAGUAGCCCCCUCUCGCUGCAGCUGAAGAAAGCCCACGUGCAGCAACACGGACUAAACGCAGCC